AGAGUUUGAUCCUGGCUCAGGAUGAACGCUAGCUACAGGCUUAACACAUGCAAGUCGAGGGGCAGCAUGGUCUUAGCUUGCUAAGGCCGAUGGCGACCGGCGCACGGGUGAGUAACACGUAUCCAACCUGCCGUCUACUCUUGGACAGCCUUCUGAAAGGAAGAUUAAUACAAGGUGGCAUCAUGAGUCCGCAUGUUCACAUGAUUAAAGGUAUUCCGGUAGACGAUGGGGAUGCGUUCCAUUAGAUAGUAGGCGGGGUAACGGCCCACCUAGUCUUCGAUGGAUAGGGGUUCUGAGAGGAAGGUCCCCCACAUUGGAACUGAGACACGGUCCAAACUCCUACGGGAGGCAGCAGUGAGGAAUAUUGGUCAAUGGGCGAGAGCCUGAACCAGCCAAGUAGCGUGAAGGAUGACUGCCCUAUGGGUUGUAAACUUCUUUUAUAAAGGAAUAAAGUCGGGUAUGGAUACCCGUUUGCAUGUACUUUAUGAAUAAGGAUCGGCUAACUCCGUGCCAGCAGCCGCGGUAAUACGGAGGAUCCGAGCGUUAUCCGGAUUUAUUGGGUUUAAAGGGAGCGUAGAUGGAUGUUUAAGUCAGUUGUGAAAGUUUGCGGCUCAACCGUAAAAUUGCAGUUGAUACUGGAUAUCUUGAGUGCAGUUGAGGCAGGCGGAAUUCGUGGUGUAGCGGUGAAAUGCUUAGAUAUCACGAAGAACUCCGAUUGCGAAGGCAGCCUGCUAAGCUGCAACUGACAUUGAGGCUCGAAAGUGUGGGUAUCAAACAGGAUUAGAUACCCUGGUAGUCCACACGGUAAACGAUGAAUACUCGCUGUUUGCGAUAUACAGCAAGCGGCCAAGCGAAAGCGUUAAGUAUUCCACCUGGGGAGUACGCCGGCAACGGUGAAACUCAAAGGAAUUGACGGGGGCCCGCACAAGCGGAGGAACAUGUGGUUUAAUUCGAUGAUACGCGAGGAACCUUACCCGGGCUUAAAUUGCAGAUGAAUUACGGUGAAAGCCGUAAGCCGCAAGGCAUCUGUGAAGGUGCUGCAUGGUUGUCGUCAGCUCGUGCCGUGAGGUGUCGGCUUAAGUGCCAUAACGAGCGCAACCCUUGUUGUCAGUUACUAACAGGUUCCGCUGAGGACUCUGACAAGACUGCCAUCGUAAGAUGUGAGGAAGGUGGGGAUGACGUCAAAUCAGCACGGCCCUUACGUCCGGGGCUACACACGUGUUACAAUGGGGGGUACAGAGGGCCGCUACCACGCGAGUGGAUGCCAAUCCCCAAAACCUCUCUCAGUUCGGACUGGAGUCUGCAACCCGACUCCACGAAGCUGGAUUCGCUAGUAAUCGCGCAUCAGCCACGGCGCGGUGAAUACGUUCCCGGGCCUUGUACACACCGCCCGUCAAGCCAUGGGAGCCGGGGGUACCUGAAGUGCGUAACCGCGAGGAGCGCCCUAGGGUAAAACUGGUGACUGGGGCUAAGUCGUAACAAGGUAGCCGUACCGGAAGGUGCGGCUG
RNAcentral lists this ribosomal RNA (1508 nucleotides) under human gut metagenome. RNAcentral's name for it is "bacterial SSU rRNA". It matches the Rfam family "Bacterial small subunit ribosomal RNA". The record is from RNAcentral.